CAGAGGUUACUGCUAUCKAGAUUCKRCUAAGCCAUGCGAGUUGAAUGUUCUUCGUGAACAUGGCGGACUGCUCAGUAACACGUGGACAACCUACCCUUGGGUCCGGCAUAAUCCUGGGAAACUGGGAAUAAUUCCGGAUAGGUCACCGAUGCUGGAAUGCGCGGUGGCCGAAAGCUCCGGCGCCCGAGGAUGGGUCUGCGGCCUAUCAGGGUUGUAGUGGGUGUAACGUACCUACUAGCCUACGACGGGUACGGGUUGUGAGAGCAAGAGCCCGGAGAUGGAUUCUGAGACACGAAUCCAGGCCCUACGGGGUGCAGCAGGCGCGAAAACUUUACAAUGCGGGAAACCGUGAUAAGGGGAUCUCGAGUGCCAGCAUAUAAUGUUGGCUGUCCAGAUGCCUAAAAAGCAUCUGUUAGCAAGGGCCGGGCAAGACCGGUGCCAGCCGCCGCGGUAACACCGGCGGCCCGAGUGGUAACCGCUAUUAUUGGGUCUAAAGGGUCUGUAGCCGGCCAGGUAAGUCCCUUGGGAAAUCUGGCAGCUCAACUGUCAGGCUGCUAGGGGAUACUGUUUGGCUUGGGACCGGGAGAGGUGAGAGGUACCUUGGGGGUAGGGGUGAAAUCUUGUGAUCCUCGAGGGACCACCAGUGGCGAAGGCGUCUCACCAGAACGGGUCCGACGGUAAGGGACGAAAGCUAGGGGCACGAACCGGAUUAGAUACCCGGGUAGUCCUAGCCGUAAACGAUGCUCGCUAGGUGUCAGUCACGGUGCGACCGUGAUUGGUGCCGUAGGGAAGCCGUGAAGCGAGCCACCUGGGAAGUAUGGCCGCAAGGCUGAAACUUAAAGGAAUUGGCGGGGGAGCACUACAWCGGGWSGAGCCUGCGGUUAAUG
This 887-nucleotide ribosomal RNA is filed under the name uncultured Methanosaeta sp. RNAcentral describes it as "bacterial SSU rRNA". It matches the Rfam family "Archaeal small subunit ribosomal RNA", at positions 18 to 906 of the family's 1478-position model. The record is from RNAcentral. Lineage: Archaea; Methanobacteriati; Methanobacteriota; Methanomicrobia; Methanotrichales; Methanotrichaceae.